RNAcentral lists this long non-coding RNA (11593 nucleotides) under Durio zibethinus. Its description in RNAcentral is "long non-coding RNA (DZIB_LNC001102)". Lineage: Eukaryota; Viridiplantae; Streptophyta; Magnoliopsida; Malvales; Malvaceae. The record is from RNAcentral.
CAAAUUAUUUUUAUUAAAGAAUUUUAAAAUGAUUAAGAGAAAAAAUUUCGUAUUACUUUAAAGUUUUAUUUGAAGAUAAUAUAACGGUGUUACAUCUUAGUUUUGGGGCAUGACACCAUUAUUAGACAAGUCUUGACCAGAUUGGAUUACGUAUCAGCCAAUUUGUCAGGCAUUGCAACAGAUUUCAGGUAAUUGGAGAGUCUGCAAACAUGACAGGCUUGAGCUAGUUUAAUUUCUGCUUUUGCUUUGUGAGACUAUUCCAAUGAAGUGAGGAAAGAUAGAUAAAUUUGAUUAUGAACUCGAAUCCAUUUUUGAUAGUAUAGUUAGACUCUGAAAGGGAGGAGGUUAAGAUUCAAAUCUUCGUGAAACCUCCUUCGAGAUGGAAACUUGGGAAGGAGAGCAGCGACUCGUUUGGCACUUUUCAAAUAUGAUGCAUACUGAAGGAUGACAGGAGUAUCAUUCUUUCCUGCAUCAAUUUUGUCACGGUCCAAGCUUAUUGUCUGAAAAGCACUAGCCAAAGGCAAGACAUGGAUACCGUGACUAUUCUCCUUUCCUACCAGGUCCUUAAGCGCCUUCUUCUUGAAAGUCCAGCUGCCAGUUCUCAGGUUGAAAUGGUAUAGAGGAAGAAAUCGUUGGCCAUAGAUGGCUACGAACUCCAACGCCGCAAGAAUGUAUUCAAACUCCUCAUUUGACAUGUAGUAAGGAAAGCUGACUCUCGUCCAUCCAGGUUUUGCUCCUAUGUAGCCCUGCAAUCAAACUUUGCAAUUGGCAUUAGAUAAGUUGAAUUAUAUUUUACUUCUCUUCAUUUGGUCAAAAAAGAAAAAAAGGAAAAUUUUGUACUGAUACCCUUUUAAUAGCUUCUCUGAACGCAAGGGAUCGAGUCUGAUCAAUAUCAAGCAAACUGUGGCCAUAAGGUCCAGCACAAGCACACCCACCUCGAGCUUGGAUGCCAAACAGAUCAUUUAGGAUGGUUGCAACAAAAGGGCCAUGGAGAGGUUUAUCCCUCUUGUUCCCAGUCUCUCCCCACAUGAAAAGUCCCCUACCCUUUUCCUUUGCCUCGUCAACAUUGUUACCAUCGUUGGUUGUGGAGUAGAUGAGGAAAGACAGUAUGGCUUGUCUCUGGGUCUCGGUGCUUGCAUUUCCUAAAACCCUUAUGUUUUGGUUUGGGAGAAGCCUCUCCAAUGCUUGAUUUAUGUACGACUUCUCCUGCUUUGCAAUCACUUCAUAACCAAUAUAUUCUUUUACCCAAAAAGUCAAUGCUGCUCUAACAAUCUGAAUUAUUUGAGGAGUCCCUCCAUUUUCCCUUUCUUCUAUGUCACUUGCAUAUAUUGUGUCCUGCAAAAUAAAUACCCCAUUUCGCCACAUUUUAAAUGCAUACCUGCUUCCCUAAAUGCUGGGGAAUGAAUCUGAUUAAUAUCAUGAUAACUUAUCAUUUUCUAGAGUAUUUUUCUACUGGCACUGUCGUGCAUUCAGAAAUUUGGUUGGAAAUCUCUUUUCUUCUAAAAUUGUAAUUAAAAUAAAAUUUUUUUAGAGACACUUAUCAUUCACUAGUCUAUGUCUAAACCCGCUCCAUCUGAAUCAGGAAUUUAUUUCUAAACUCCAAAAAGCCUGACAGCUACCUAAUCAUUCUUUAUGUCGUCCAGCCGAAGAAAGAAACCGAAAUUUCUUACAAAAUGGGAUAUAUAAGCAAGAAUAAGAAAAAGAUAAAGAAAAUACAAAUUUCCAUUUUAUGGUAGAGAGGUGAACAAAAAAUAAAAUCUUUCAUCUAUUAAAUUGAAUUAAUCUGAACACAAAAAUAUAAUAAAAAUCUCUUCAUUUAUUAUCAAUUAAUUUUAAAUUUGAGAGUGAUUACCUGUUCAUUGAAGCCAUUGACAUAAUUAACAGUUCCACCUCCGCAAGUUGAUGGAGGAGAAGAUCCCAGCCGGUAGAGAGCCUUGCUCAUUAAAAGGAUGCCGGGCGUUCCCGGGCCACCUAGAAACUUAUGUGGGCUUAGGAAAAUGGCAUCAUAUCCAUCAAUCUCCCCUGACCUCAUAUCAAUCUCCACAUAAGGACCACUAUCCACAAAAACAAAAUGAUAAGCACAAUCACAAAUCAACUUCUCAUUGCUUUAUAACAUUAACAUAAUACAUAAACUUGGCUAAUAAUUAAUUGUGAGAUCUGUUAUUAAAAUAUUAAACUUUUAAUUUUAACAAUCAAAGUUUAAAUUCUGACAACCUCGAAUAUAAAAGCUUGACAACAAAAAAUGAAAAUUCUUACUGUGUACCUUGCUGCAAAAUCAAAGCAAACAAAACCUCCGUACUCAUGAAGAAGUUUGGCAAUCUCUCGAGUAUCUGUUUGAAUCCCAGUCACAUUACUACAAGCUGAAAAGGAGCCAAGCAAAGGCCUAUUGGCGUAUUUAUAGAGCUCAAGCUGUUUUCUUAGUGCUUCAAUGUCUAUGAACCCAUUCUCAUCUAAACCAAUCUCAACAACUUCAGCAAGGCUUUGACGCCAAGAAAGCAAGUUGGAGUGUUGCUCGUAAGGGCCAAUAAAAACUACCCAUCGAUACUCAUUAGGUAAGCAAUUUAUUACCAUGUCCCUCAAAAUUGAUGGUACCGUAAUCCCCAUAACUUCUUGUAGCCUUUUAAUAGCAGCCGUGGUGCCUGAGCCACAAAACAGAAUUGCAUCAUCUUGACCGCCACCUAGGCUUCUUUUAAUGUAGUUUGACGCUUCAUGCACCAUUUUCGUCGUCCUGUGCCCCACGUAACUGUCAGACGUGUGAGUGUUACCUACGCACGAACCAACCAAGAUCAGCUGACAAAUACUAAAACACAAAAAAUAUAUCUAUAUAUAUAUAUAUAUAUAUUAUACUCGGAAAUGACGCCAUCACUUUUGUUAAUUAAAUCAGAGUAUCACAAUUGAAGAUCAGAAGAAAAAAAACCUUUACCGUAGAAUGGCAGAACAUUGGUGACGAUGAAGUUUUCGAUAUAGUGAAAAGAGCGACCCGAUGCAGUAUGAUCAGCAUAAGUAAGUUUUCUAGUUCCAAAAGGAGAGUCAAAUUCUGCAUCACCACCAGUGAUUUGAGAUCGUAGCCAAGACAGCUUUUUCUCGGUGGAGUCAACCUUUGGCACAUCCAUCUCUAGAGCCCUGAAUGAUUCCGAGCCAUGGAAGAGUUUGCUGGAAACAUAGGAACGGUAUGUUGAUCCUGGUGACUUAUGCCUGUCCCUGGUUGAAGUCUUACUAUCAUUUGCUGCCUUCAAUUGCAGGGCUUCCGUUGUUUCUCUAAACAUGGGUUGCUCAAACUCCAUUUCCCACCUGGAAACAAAGAUUAGUGGCUGUUUUUAUUGUUGUUGUAGCUUAUGACAGGAGAAAGAAUGGAAAAAGUAGUUGUAGAAGAAGAAAAAGAUAAGAAUGAGGGUAAGGAAGGCAGACUUGGUUAUUUAUAUACUAUUAAAAUACAAAGUAACCUUUUGACACGGUUUCAUCUUUUUAAUUAAUAAAACAAAAAGACAAAGUUUUAGGCGUGAGGGGGGUUUGACUCCGAAACCAUGGCCUCUACACACCAAUAAGAAAAAUAUUGCUGUCUCAGAAACAAUGGGAUCUCUAAAAAGGAUUGAAAAAAAAAAAAAAACCUACAGAAAAUAGUAAGCCUAUGUUUGGAAUAUGUUAUUCCUUGGAGUGUAAGAAUUUCCAUAUUUCUCAUUCCUCUCCCUAAAAUUUGAUUAUGGAGUAUCAAACAGCCCAAGCAAUUGUUAGAAAAACAUUGAACCUUUCCUGAUCUACUUGGUUUGGAACGUGAUGUAUCCAAUCUGCCGUAUUAAUAAAGAGAGCAUUGCUAUUUGGAGGUGUCAAUAAUAUACCCGUACUCACGAGUUAUUCAUUUUAUAAAUUAGAUUACUUAAUUGAUAAAAAGAAUGACAAUUUUGGUAUCUCAUUAUAAUUUUCACGGAUAGCUAUGAUUCCGAAAGAGUAAAAUGUGUAAAGAAAGCAAAGAAUUUGAUUGCUUUUAAACUUAGUAUGAUUUUGGCAAUAUGCAUGAUAAUUUUAUUAAUGAUUAUUCAUCAUUAAGUAACAUUUAUGAAUUAAAAUUAAAUUUUGAUUUAUUGAAAAAGUAUAAAAAAAUCAGUUAUAAAAAAUAAAUGAAAGAAUGAAGAAACAAACAAACGGAUCAAAUAAAAAAAAUAAAAAGAGAACCAAUACAAAAUAAAAGUAGUGAAAUAGAUCUUCAAACCAAUACUCCACCACAAUAAAGGCUAUUCAUUUGUAUUUAUGAUGAAGUGGCAUAUUAAAAAUAAAUAAUUUAAUUUAAUUAAGAAUGAUUUAAGAUAAAUAAUAAACAUUUGAUUACUAAUUGAUAUAAUUUUAACUAUAGAAGGUAAAUAAUACGUUCUCUUUAAGGUAAUGUUGUUCUUCCAAAAUAGUUAAAUAUAAAAAUACCCAUUUAUUAUGCAUUUUUUUUAUCAUUUGCACCCAAAAAAAUAAAAUAUUAGUUUGGCACUCUAAUUUCAUUAUUUCAUCACUUUGUUAUCGGAGACUAGCGUCGUCAGUCAAGUUUAUUGAUGUGGUAUAUAACACUCGAUAAGGAUAUUAACAUAUGCUAAGAAAAGCUAAUCAAUGUCAAAUCAUCAAAAUUACAUCUGAAUUUAAAGAAAAUUCUAAAAAAAAUUUAAAAUAUUUUUUAAAAAAUAUUUAGCUUCUAAAAAAAUUAAUUUUAAAACCAAAACUAAAAUUUUUAAAAAUUUUUAAAAAAUUACCAAAACUUAAAAAAUUCAGAAAAAUCUCAAAAUUUUAUUAGGAAAAUAAAAAACUUUUCAAAUUUUCAUAAAAAUCAUAAUUUUAGUAAACAUAAAAGUUUUCAUAAAUUUAAAAAAAAUCUCUAAAGCUUAAAAAAAUUGAAAGUAAAAGAUCUAAAUUUUUUUGAAAAUAUCUAAAAAUUUUAAAAUAAUUGUAAUUCUUGUAAAUUAGGAAAAUUCUUCAUUUUUUUAAUCUUACAAUUUUAAUUUUCUUAUAUAUUUUGUGAUUUUUUACAUUUUUUUAAAUGUUUAUGGAUUUUUAUUAAAAUUUUAAGUUUUUUAUUUUAUAUUUUUCAAAAAAAUAUUAACUUUUUGUAAAUUUCUUAGAAUAUUUCAUAUUUUUGAAUUUUUUUAAUUUACUCAAAAUUUUUGAAAAUAUUUUAUAAAAUUUUAGAUUUUAAUAAAAAUUUGAUAUUUUUUUAAUUUUCAAAUUUUGUCAAAAAAGUCCAGAUUUUUUAUUAUUUGUAAACCUCUUUUUUAAUUUUUUAGAAUUUUUUUGGUUAUUUUUUAAUUUUUUAUCAAAAUUUUGAGAUUUUAUGAAUUUUUUUAUGUUUUGAUAUUUUUUAAAAUUUUAUGUUCAAAUAAGAUUUCAUAUUUAUUUAAUUUUUUUAAUUUUUAAAAAUAUUUUAGACUUUUAAAUUUUGUUGAAAUUUUUUACUAUUAAUGUGGUAAUUGAUGAUGUGGCACUACUGAACUUUUUGAUACAUGUCAGUAUCUUAUUAGAUGUUAAUGCCAUGUUGACAAAUUGAGUAAUUGCUUUAGUACGAGGUAUCAAAGUAAAUGGCGAAAUGAAAGUUAAAAAUCCAAAUUGAUAAUUUUGUUUUUGAAAGUACUAAACUGACAGAAAGUGUAUAGUACAUGAAAUAUUUUUAUGUUUAACUUUUCCAAUCAUGAAAAGACCUAAAAGGAGACUUGAAAUUGUUAUACAUGUAAUCGAUAAUCAUUCCUUAGUGUUGACCUUUAGAGUUCAAAGGAUGUCUCAAACCCAAAUAAUUUUUGGGUUUUUCCUACAUGUAAUAAUAAUAUUAAUUACCAAAUUAUUGCUUAAUUUGAAAAAAAAAUGACAUUAAUAUAAAGAUAAAUGUACAUAAAAGAGCAGUAACUGUAACUCGUAUAAAAGUAAAAAAAAAAAAAAAAGGUUAUCUGAACCUAUUUUAAUUGAAAACCCUUGAAGCCUCCUCAUCAAACACUUACUAGACUAAAGGUUUACAAAACCUCUAAACCAGAUUGAUCUAGUAAGAUGUGUAAGUUUUACAUUUAAGUGAUCACAUUAAAUUAUUUAAACUCUCAUGCUUAUCUUGUAUUAAGAGUAAACACAUCAACCAAUUUUAUUAAAUUAUUAAAACUAACUAUUAAUGGCAGCCCACUUAUAAAUUAUUCUCGCUCUAUAUCCUAAUAAGACAUCAACGGGGAGUGUAUAAAGCAAAAAUGAAGACUAUAUAAAGAGCAAUGGUGGUGGAAAGAUUGUUUUAUAAACAAAAAAUUUGGAUGUUGAAGCGGUCUUCAUAAAAGACGACUUUCUGUGUUAGAGUGGUUCCAUUAAAAUAGUAUACUAAGGUCAUAUUUGAUACAUAUAAUUAUUAAUAGAAUAUGAAGAAUAUUCGUAGGUUUGCAAUGAGGAUUAAUAUCCUCUUGUAUAGGAUUAUUCAAUCAUCUCAAGUAGAAAGGAUAAUUUUUAAAUUUAUAGAUUAAACUUACUGGUUCAAUUAAUACUCUUAAAAAUUACUUUAAUAAUUUAAAUUGUAUAAACUUUGAAUAAGGAAUUUUUGACCAAUAAAUAAAAUUAUCCUAUCCUAAUCUUUACAUAUAGCAAACACAAAACAAAAUGACAUUAUUUAAUCUAAUUUUAUUUAUAAUAUCAUUGUACCCUAUCAAGUUAUAAUCUUAUGUACCAAACAUGGCAUAAGAUUAUAUAUCUAUGUAUAUUGAUAUUAUUUGUUAUUUUAUAACUAAGCUUUUGCGAUUCACAUAUUGUGAGGGGUUUCUGUGACAACUUUUUAAAAGGCUAUUUGGUGUGAUUGCAUAUACAUGACAUCAUACAUGCUAAUAAAGGAUUAGGAUAGAGCGGUAUAUUCGAAUUCACCCAUAAGGUACUGUGUGAAUUGAAUUCCUUAAUUCUUUUUAUUCGUGAUCUAGAUUGGUGGAUUAUAUUACAAAAUGGUGGUGUAGCAUAAUGAUUUUAUGUUGUUUUAUAGCUAUUAUUGUUCAUUUCUUCAAACAUCAGUAAAUAAGAUUGAAGAACAGGUGCAUUGUCCUAAAACCAAAUGAACUUGAGUAAAAACCAUCAGCUCUAGGGAUUUUCGAAGAACUUGGAUGUCACUUUGUUUAUUGAAAACCAAAUGAUGGAAAGAAAUAGGAAGGUAGUAUCGAAAUUAGGAAUAACCUUUAGUUUACAAUAGAUAAGUUAGUUGAUUUUGUCUGUGUACACUCGGGUAUACUAUUUUUUAUUUAUGUUAAUGAGCCUCACACAAAUCUUCAAUUUGGUUGACUUUAGGACUAAUAUUAGGUUCUGGAAGUCUAGAAUGACUAUUGAAUAUAUAAGGUGAAGAAAUCUAAAUAUUCAAUAUUGAAAUUAUUUUAUACCUUGAUCUUAGCAUAUGAUAUUGGAAGUAGUUUACUAAAAUUAGGUAAGUUAUAUUGAGACAUUGAUAUUUCAAUUGGCUAUAUGCUAUGCCUUUUUCAUAUUUUUUUUAUCCUAAAGAUUGAAGGAGAAAUUUUAUUUUUGGAUGAGAUGCUAUGAUUCGCAAAAGUGAAUUAAAAUGGAAUUUGUAUUAAUGGAUAAAUUAUUACUUUAAGUAUUAUAUAUUGUUGGAAAGCUUGCUGAAUCUAUUUUUCAAUGAAACAAACGUAAGUUGAAUCAGAGUUUUCUAUUAAGAGUUAUCUAAUUUUUACUUAAUGAUAUGUAGACUGCUUGACAGCAGUAGCAAUAAGGAAUUACAAAAUUUCUCUGAAUUUUUAUACAAUGAAUUACGAAUUGAGCCAUACAUGUUUAAAAAGGUUAUUGAGUUUAUAUUCCAAUGAAACAAGCAGAAUUGAAUUUGGAGUCUUUUAUGAAUAAAUAUAUCAUUUUGAUUACAAUAUAUACAUGCUAUCUAGUAGUAGCAUAUGACAUGGAUUGCGAAAAUUAUUACAAUUAAUCUACAAUAAAUUACGAGGUGGGCCAUAUAUGUUGUCAUAACAUCUAGAUCCGGGGAUCCUUUGCUAGAUAUUGUCUUUAGGAGUGAUCAUUAAUCUUUUUUAUCUAUGAGCGAUUGGUCAUCUAGGGAAUUUAUCCUUUUAAAGAACACCUAAGCCUAAGGGUCCCUAAAAGAAUAGUUUCAUGUUUACUAAUCAGAACAGGGUUCAAGAGUACGGUUAUGUGUGAAAAAGGUUAUAACACCCUUACAACGCCCAUCGAAAGAUGGUACCAGCUUAAUUUUAUGUUAUCCAAUAAGUUUUAAAAAUUUACUAGAUAAUUAAUUAUUAGAAAUUAUUCUCAAUUGACUAUAAAACUUUUAGUAAAAAAUUAAAAAAAAAUUUUCACCCAAAGAGUAUGCAAGGAAACUACUGUUUCACUUGCAGAAGCUCUAUCGUCAGAUUAUUUAACAUUAAAGAAAAUUCAAAAAGGAAAAGAAAUAAAAUGGGAAAAAAGAAUAAUAAUUCAACUUUAGAUAUAAAUCUUUCUCUUCAAAAACUUAUUACUUUUGUAUAAGAAAAAUUGAUACUUUUAACUUUUCCUCAAAAGAAUUUGAGAGUUUCUAUUUUAAGGACAAUUGAUACUUUCAACUUUUCCUUAAAACAUUUUUUUUAAGAAAAAUUGGUACUUCUAACUUUUUCCCAAAAUAUUUUUCUGAAACUUUAAUUUUGAGGAAAAUUGAUACUUUCAACUUUUCUUCAAAAAUAUUUUUUUUAAAUUUAUUUUUAAGAAAAAUUGAUACUUUUACCUUUUCCUCAAAAAUAAUUUUUAGAAAAUUAUUUUCAAGGAAAAUUGAUACUUUCAACUUUUUCUCAAAAAUAUUUUUUUAGAAUUUUAUUUUAAGAAAAUCAUUAAAAAAUAAAAAUAAAAAUAAAAUAAGGAAUACAAAAUUAUUCUAAUCUAAUCAAUAAAUAAUAAUAAUAAUAAUAAAUAAGAAAAAAAAAAUUUUGGAACAGCUCGGCUUGAGAGAUAGAAGUGGUUUAAACGUGAGGCUCAGCUAGAAACGGCUCGAUUGGGCUGGGCUAGGGUCUAGGUAAAAAUGCGGGUCGCUAAUCGGGUUGGUGCUCGGGUUGAGUCACCCGAUUUCAAAACGUGCUGAUCUUCUGGGAAUAGUAAGGCUAAAACGACAUCGUUUUCAGUCGGUAUAAAAGGCUUCAACCUCUGUUUUUUUACAGAUUGCUUCCUUCUUCCUCUUUUUUUCUUUUUUUUUUCUCCUCCUUCUCUCUAAAUAGAAUCCAAAUCUCAGUUGAAUAUCUGCUGAAAUCUGAAAAAAAACAGGUCAAAAACUUCGAAGUUGGCCGAAAAUCUCGCCAAAAAAGUUGAAUCUUACCGAAAAAUUUCACUGGAUUCUGAAAAAUUUUUAGAAAUUUUUAGAAAAAAAAUUCUAAAAUUCUAAAAUCUUUCCCAUAAAUUCCUAACACUGUUUCUAACGCACCAGAACUUUUUUUAACCUCUGUUUCCUCUCUGUGUAUUUUUUGAUCUUUUUGUGUGCUCUCUGUGGACCUAUUUAUAAGGAUUGAUCAGAAGAGUUUCUGAUCAAUCCCAACUCCUUCUGGGAUUUUGAUUCAAUCUUUGAAUCCAAUCCCAAUCCUGCUAACCUCUAAUUUCACGGCCAAAUCCAAUUUUUUUAUCCUAAUCCUAUCCGAAAAUCAAUCAAGAUAAAACAAAAAAAACACAUAUAAUAAUUAAUAGAUAAAUAAUAAAAAAAUUAUAUUAAUAAAUAAUAAUAAAAAAUAAAUAAAAUGGGCUUACCCAUUUUGACUAGGCCCAAUUGAUCCAAGCCUGGACCAAAUUGGGUGUCUACAUAUUUUUGAAAAGGUUUUUGAGUCUAUUUUUCGAUUAAACAAGCGAAAUUGAAUUUGGAGUCUUUUAUGAAUAAAUAUAUAAUUUUUAUUAGAAGAUAUGCAUACUAUCUGAUAGCAACAUAUAACAUAGAUUGCAAAAGUUAUUACAAUUAAUCUACACGAAAUUAUGAUGUGGGCCAUAUAUAGUUAAAAAAUUUAUCGAGUUUAAUUUCUAAUGUACUAAAAAGAUUUUAAUUUUGAGUUGGAUAUCUUAAGAUAGGGUCAUUUUAGUGAAAGUAGCAUAGGCUACCAAAAUUAGUUAGUUAACCCUUAUAUAACUUAGUUGUUUUUAGUAUUAAUGGUCUUAAAGUGGAUUGAUUAAUUUCUGUUAUAUUGAAAUGAUUUUGAAUAGCCUAUUAAUUAUUUUGAGGGAAAAACUAAGUGGUGGAACCAAAAGGAAAUAAGUAGAAUCUUACACACUUUGCUUAUUUUGAAACUUAUGUAUAUAUGUAUGUUUCUAAAUAAAUGAGAUUUAUUUCUUUAUUUUCGAUAUAAGAAAAUAGGUUGAGCAUAUGAUUAUUUUAUGUUUUGCUAUAUAAAUGAUGGAUCAUGUUUAUAAAUGAAAUGAGAAAUUGAUUUAUGUUUAAUGAAUGAUUUUAUAAUAGCUACAUAUUUUACAUCUUGAGAAAUGGGAUUAUCGAUACCAGAACUAGUUAUACUACCCUAGCUAACGGAUUAUAAAAGUUAAUAUAGUCACGAUCAAAUGGCACUACUAGUGGGUCAUAGUAGUUAGUGUAAAGGUUUGGCCAGCAGGCUAUAAUAGUUAGUAAAGAUCAUAAGGAUAAAAUUAUCGAUAUUGCCAAUGUUACGGAUUAUAGUAGUAAUCAUAGUUAAUGAUAAACUAAUGAUAAUGAUGAUUUAUGAUAAUGAUGAUUUUAAAGAUUGAUUCAUGAUUUGAUUUAAUUACGAUAUUUGAAUGGUAACAUAUUUUGUAAUGAUUUAUGAAUUGAUCUAUUUUGAUUUUGAUUUAUGAUCUACAAAAUAUUUGACAUAAUGUUGAUUUUUGAAAUAUUUUGAUGUAUUAUUUGACAAAUGUUUCGAAUUAUCUAUAUGAUAUGUAUGAAACCGAUGUUUGAUCCGAUAAAAUGUAUGAUCUUAUACUAGAUUAGCUGUAAUUUGUUCAUUCUCUUUCUACCUUUUCUUUACACAUGAGUAACUGAUAAGUAUAUUUAGUCUUAUUAAAAGCUAGAAGAUCAAAUUUGGAAAUAUUACUUGGACAUUAGAAAUAUUGUUAGCUAGUGAGAUCUUAUGAAAUUAUUUUAUAUGUUUUUUAUUAAUUAACCUUUGGAUAUAUAGAGAUGUAUCACUAGUUAGAUUAAAUUUAUGAAUUUUACUUGGCAAAUUAUUUUUAUUAAAGAAUUUUAAAAUGAUUAAGAGAAAAAAUUUCGUAUUACUUUAAAGUUUUAUUUGAAGAUAAUAUAACGGUGUUACAUCUUAGUUUUGGGGCAUGACACCAUUAUUAGACAAGUCUUGACCAGAUUGGAUUACGUAUCAGCCAAUUUGUCAGGCAUUGCAACAGAUUUCAGGUAAUUGGAGAGUCUGCUAACAUGACAGGCUUGAGCUAGUUUAAUUUCUGCUUUUGCUUUGUGAGAAUAUUCCAAUGAAGUGAGGAAAGAUAGAUAAAUUUGAUUAUGAACUCGAAUCCAUUUUUGAUAGUAUAGUUAGACUCUGAAAGGGAGGAGGUUAAGAUUUAAAUCUUCGUGAAACCUCCUUCGAGAUGGAAACUUGGGAAGGAGAGCAGCGACUCGUUUGGCACUUUUCAAAUAUGAUGCAUACUGAAGGAUGACAGGAGUAUCAUUCUUUCC